RNAcentral lists this ribosomal RNA (484 nucleotides) under uncultured bacterium. RNAcentral describes it as "partial 16S ribosomal RNA". It matches the Rfam family "Bacterial small subunit ribosomal RNA", at positions 30 to 507 of the family's 1533-position model. The record is from RNAcentral.
AUUGAACGCUGGCGGCAGGCCUAACACAUGCAAGUCGAGCGGAUGAAGGGAGCUUGCUCCUGGAUUCAGCGGCGGACGGGUGAGUAAUGCCUAGGAAUCUGCCUGGUAGUGGGGGAUAACGUCCGGAAACGGGCGCUAAUACCGCAUACGUCCUGAGGGAGAAAGUGGGGGAUCUUCGGACCUCACGCUAUCAGAUGAGCCUAGGUCGGAUUAGCUAGUUGGUGGGGUAAAGGCCUACCAAGGCGACGAUCCGUAACUGGUCUGAGAGGAUGAUCAGUCACACUGGAACUGAGACACGGUCCAGACUCCUACGGGAGGCAGCAGUGGGGAAUAUUGGACAAUGGGCGAAAGCCUGAUCCAGCCAUGCCGCGUGUGUGAAGAAGGUCUUCGGAUUGUAAAGCACUUUAAGUUGGGAGGAAGAGAAGUAAGUUAAUACCUUGCUGUUUUGACGUUACCAACAGAAUAAGCACCGGCUAACUUCGUG